RNAcentral lists this ribosomal RNA (1359 nucleotides) under Burkholderia sola. RNAcentral's name for it is "23S ribosomal RNA (partial)". It matches the Rfam family "Bacterial large subunit ribosomal RNA", at positions 1576 to 2925 of the family's 2925-position model. The record is from RNAcentral. Lineage: Bacteria; Pseudomonadati; Pseudomonadota; Betaproteobacteria; Burkholderiales; Burkholderiaceae.
CCUUAGGGAGCGAAGCAAUUGGAAGUGGUUCCAAGAAAAGCCUCUAAGCUUCAGUCUAACGAUGACCGUACCGCAAACCGACACAGGUGGGCGAGAUGAGUAUUCUAAGGCGCUUGAGAGAACUCGGGAGAAGGAACUCGGCAAAUUGGUACCGUAACUUCGGGAUAAGGUACGCCCUUGUAGCUUGACUGGCCUGCGCCAGGAGGGUGAAGGGGUUGCAAUAAACUGGUGGCUGCGACUGUUUAAUAAAAACACAGCACUCUGCAAACACGAAAGUGGACGUAUAGGGUGUGACGCCUGCCCGGUGCCGGAAGAUUAAAUGAUGGGGUGCAAGCUCUUGAUUGAAGUCCCGGUAAACGGCGGCCGUAACUAUAACGGUCCUAAGGUAGCGAAAUUCCUUGUCGGGUAAGUUCCGACCUGCACGAAUGGCGUAACGAUGGCCACACUGUCUCCUCCCGAGACUCAGCGAAGUUGAAGUGUUUGUGAUGAUGCAAUCUACCCGCGGCUAGACGGAAAGACCCCAUGAACCUUUACUGUAGCUUUGCAUUGGACUUUGAACCGAUCUGUGUAGGAUAGGUGGGAGGCUAUGAAACCGGAACGCUAGUUUCGGUGGAGCCGUCCUUGAAAUACCACCCUGGUUUGUUUGAGGUUCUAACCUUGGCCCGUGAUCCGGGUCGGGGACAGUGCAUGGUAGGCAGUUUGACUGGGGCGGUCUCCUCCCAAAGCGUAACGGAGGAGUACGAAGGUACGCUAGGUACGGUCGGAAAUCGUGCUGAUAGUGCAAUGGCAUAAGCGUGCUUAACUGCGAGACCGACAAGUCGAGCAGGUGCGAAAGCAGGUCAUAGUGAUCCGGUGGUUCUGUAUGGAAGGGCCAUCGCUCAACGGAUAAAAGGUACUCUGGGGAUAACAGGCUGAUACCGCCCAAGAGUUCAUAUCGACGGCGGUGUUUGGCACCUCGAUGUCGGCUCAUCUCAUCCUGGGGCUGUAGCCGGUCCCAAGGGUAUGGCUGUUCGCCAUUUAAAGAGGUACGUGAGCUGGGUUUAAAACGUCGUGAGACAGUUUGGUCCCUAUCUGCCGUGGGCGUUGGAUAUUUGAAGGGGGCUGCUCCUAGUACGAGAGGACCGGAGUGGACGAACCUCUGGUGUACCGGUUGUCACGCCAGUGGCAUCGCCGGGUAGCUAUGUUCGGAAGAGAUAACCGCUGAAAGCAUCUAAGCGGGAAACUCGCCUUAAGAUGAGAUAUCCCUGGGGACUAGAUCCCCUUGAAGGGUCGUUCGAGACCAGGACGUUGAUAGGUCAGGUGUGUAAGCGCAGUAAUGCGUUCAGCUAACUGAUACUAAUUGCCCGUAAGGCUUGAUCC